UACGAAGGGGGCUAGCGUUGUUCGGAAUCACUGGGCGUAAAGGGCGCGUAGGCGGCCGAUCAAGUCGGGGGUGAAAGCCUGUGGCUCAACCACAGAAUGGCCUUCGAUACUGGUUGGCUCGAGACCGGAAGAGGUGAGUGGAACUGCGAGUGUAGAGGUGAAAUUCGUAGAUAUUCGCAAGAACACCAGUGGCGAAGGCGGCUCACUGGUCCGGUUCUGACGCUGAGGCGCGAAAGCGGGGGGAGCAAACAGG
This 253-nucleotide ribosomal RNA is filed under the name uncultured bacterium. RNAcentral's name for it is "partial 16S ribosomal RNA". It matches the Rfam family "Bacterial small subunit ribosomal RNA", at positions 524 to 776 of the family's 1533-position model. The record is from RNAcentral.